GAUGGCCAGGCUGUCUCCACCCGAGACUCAGUGAAAUUGAACUCGCUGUGAAGAUGCAGUGUACCCGCGGCAAGACGGAAAGACCCCGUGAACCUUUACUAUAGCUUGACACUGAACAUUGAGCCUUGAUGUGUAGGAUAGGUGGGAGGCUUUGAAGUGUGGACGCCAGUCUGCAUGGAGCCGGCCUUGAAAUACCACCCUUUAAUGUUUGAUGUUCUAACGUGGACCCGUGAUCCGGGUUGCGGACAGUGUCUGGUGGGUAGUUUGACUGGGGCGGUCUCCUCCUAAAGAGUAACGGAGGAGCACGAAGGUUGGCUAAUCCUGGUCGGACAUCAGGAGGUUAGUGCAAUGGCAUAAGCCAGCUUGACUGCGAGCGUGACGGCGCGAGCAGGUGCGAAAGCAGGUCAUAGUGAUCCGGUGGUUCUGAAUGGAAGGGCCAUCGCUCAACGGAUAAAAGGUACUCCGGGGAUAACAGGCUGAUACCGCCCAAGAGUUCAUAUCGACGGCGGUGUUUGGCACCUCGAUGUCGGCUCAUCACAUCCUGGGGCUGAAGUAGGUCCCAAGGGUAUGGCUGUUCGCCAUUUAAAGUGGUACGCGAGCUGGGUUUAGAACGUCGUGAGACAGUUCGGUCCCUAUCUGCCGUGGGCGCUGGAGAACUGAGGGGGGCUGCUCCUAGUACGAGAGGACCGGAGUGGACGCAUCACUGGUGUUCGGGUUGUCAUGCCAAUGGCACUGCCCGGUAGCUAAAUGCGGAAGAGAUAAGUGCUGAAAGCAUCUAAGCACGAAACUUGCCCCGAGAUGAGUUCUCCCUGACCCUUUAAGGGUCCUGAAGGAACGUUGAAGACGACGACGUUGAUAGGCCGGGUGUGUAAGCGCAGCGAUGCGUUGAGCUAACCGGUACUAAUGAACCGUGAGGCUUAACCUU
RNAcentral lists this ribosomal RNA (925 nucleotides) under Shigella sonnei. RNAcentral's name for it is "partial 23S ribosomal RNA". It matches the Rfam family "Bacterial large subunit ribosomal RNA", at positions 2006 to 2925 of the family's 2925-position model. The record is from RNAcentral. Lineage: Bacteria; Pseudomonadati; Pseudomonadota; Gammaproteobacteria; Enterobacterales; Enterobacteriaceae.